This 336-nucleotide ribosomal RNA is filed under the name Stenotrophomonas pavanii. Its description in RNAcentral is "bacterial SSU rRNA". It matches the Rfam family "Bacterial small subunit ribosomal RNA", at positions 56 to 389 of the family's 1533-position model. Lineage: Bacteria; Pseudomonadati; Pseudomonadota; Gammaproteobacteria; Lysobacterales; Lysobacteraceae. The record is from RNAcentral.
UGCAGUCGAACGGCAGCACAGGANAUCUUGCUCUCUGGGUGGCCAGUGGCGGACGGGUGAGGUAUACAUCUGAAUCUACUCUGUCGUGGGGGAUAACGUAGGGAAACUUACACUAAUACCGCCUACCACCUACGGGUGAAAGCACGGGACCUUCUGGCCUUGCGCGAUUGAAUGAGCCGAUGUCGGAUUAUCUAGUUGGCGGGGUAAAGGCCCGCCAAGGUCACGAUCCGUACCUGGUCUGAGAUGAUGAUCACUGACACUGGAACUGAGACCCGGUCCCGACUCCUACNGGAGGCAGCAAUGGGUAAAAUUGGACAAUGGUUGCAAGCCUGAUCC